GUCUAUGGCCAUGCCACCCUGAAUGUACCGGAUCUCGUCUGAUCUCGGAAGCUAAGCAGGGUCGGGCCUGGUUAGUACUUGGAUGGGAGACCACCUAGGAAUACCCGGUGCUGUAGGCG
This 119-nucleotide ribosomal RNA is filed under the name Pteropus alecto (black flying fox). RNAcentral also lists the same sequence under 1 other name. Lineage: Eukaryota; Metazoa; Chordata; Mammalia; Chiroptera; Pteropodidae. The record is from RNAcentral.